UAUGAGUAAAAACUUACUAAGAAAUCCUUGAUUGUCAUUGCAAUUACAUAAAAACUGCCUUUUCUUUUAAUUGCAAAAUAAAUUUGAUCAUAUGAUGAUAUACACUCAUAAUUUUCUCUCUCUCUUUUUUUGAGCUAGAAGUUGAACUCACAAUGUCAUACAUGAAGCACACACUCUACCACUGAGCAAGACCCCCAACUCCUGCUCUUUAUUUUUUUGAGAUGGAAUCUCACCAUGUUGCCCAGGCUGGUCUCAAGCCUCUGGGCACAAGCCAUCCUCUUGCCUCAGCCUCAUGGGUAGCUGGUACUACAGGUGCAUGUCACCACACCCUGUACACUCAGAAUACUCUAUUAAAUACUACAUAAAUCUGUUCUUUAACACUAACAAAAUAGACAAAUAUUCAUGAAGGGAAUGCAAACAUGGUAGCUACUGACAUCAUUAGUAUUAUUUCAUCAGUGAUUCAGAAACUAUUAAAUAAGCAAACUAUUGAAACCACACAAACCAAGAACAGCUUCCUUUCAGAUCCAUGUCCUUCAGAAAUGCAAUUAGGAGUCAUAUUUACACACAGUAUCUAAUUUUUUUAAUCUCAAGAAUGUAGAAUAUGAUAACACAAUUACCAUCUUUAAGAAAAAUUUAAAUCAAAUGGACGUAAGAACUGAAAAGCAUAACUUGAAAAACUUGACUUCAUGUGCUAUGAUCUUAAAACAUAGUCAUUUUUCAUUUUUCAUGGGAGUUAUAUUCUUUUUUUUAUAUUGAUUAGUUGUAGUUGGACACAUU
RNAcentral lists this long non-coding RNA (777 nucleotides) under Marmota monax (woodchuck). The record is from RNAcentral. Lineage: Eukaryota; Metazoa; Chordata; Mammalia; Rodentia; Sciuridae.